RNAcentral lists this long non-coding RNA (211 nucleotides) under Elaeis guineensis (African oil palm). Its description in RNAcentral is "long non-coding RNA (EGUI_LNC011599)". The record is from RNAcentral. Lineage: Eukaryota; Viridiplantae; Streptophyta; Magnoliopsida; Arecales; Arecaceae.
GCUGCUUCUUGUUUAAUUUAAACUAGUUCAACAAUUUACCCCAAAAAAACUAGUUUAACAUGAUAUUGGUUCCUAGGUAGUUACCUAAAUUAACCUGAUUCCAUUUGAAUCGAGGUCCCACAAGCAUUGAUUUUGACUCAAGAUGUAAAUAUGAAAAUUUACGGCAGUUUCAUGUAGGGGUACAAAUAGGUCGGGCUGGAUCGGAUCAUGA